Molecule: long non-coding RNA, 1261 nt
Organism: Rosa rugosa (rugosa rose)
Lineage: Eukaryota; Viridiplantae; Streptophyta; Magnoliopsida; Rosales; Rosaceae
Exons: 2
Source: RefSeq, a predicted model, not a curated record
UUUCUCUGAUCAUUUCUCUCUCUCGACCUCACCAACUCUUUCGCUCUCUCCAUCUCCAUCAUGGCAAAGCUCUCUGAUUCCCGCAAUUCCAACCGUUCCGAUCGCCGGAACAAAUACCUGAAGCCGAAUCUGGGUGGCCGGAAAUCGGGUCCUCGGAAAUUGGCGACUCUAUUCCAGGGUUUGGGGCUCCAAGACAAAACCCCUUCUUCUUUCAUGUUGUCGCCUACGUCAGCAAAGAGCCCUAGCCCUAACCCUAGAUCUGGAAUCCCGAGCGCACCUCCUACUCCCAAUGCACCGGCGAGGCAUGGUCUCCGGCCACCGUCUCGCCUCCGGGGCUCGGAUAUGCGGCAGGCUUUUCACCGAUGAAUGCAGAAUGCACAAGCAGUGUGGCAACCGCUGCCCUCUCUGUUGUGCUAGGUGUACUAGCUGCUAUAUAUUGAUUAUCGUUUCAAAGGAUGCAGGCAUCCACGACAAUUUGGGCUGCUUUCUGACCUACAUGUGACUCUGUGAGUUUUAUUCCUCCUUUUCUAUGAUUUUUAAUGGUUUCUUGCUUUUCAACUUGAAAUCCAUUAAUGUGUUCUGCAUUUUGGGUAAUGUUGUUCAUGUGGAAGCCUAGGAUAAUAUUUGGAUAAGGUUAUGGUUACUAUGAAACCAAUAAGGCUGUGAAUGCAAAACUUGCUAGAAAUGUUGUGCAGCUUAGUUGGAGUUUUGCUGCAGAUGAUUGGUGGCAGAGUCACUCUACUUGUGGUGUAUUACAGAAUGAUUGUAGUGUUUCAUUGAAGGGGAUUCUCUACCAUGCUUGGAGUUGGUCAAGUGUUGGAGGCGGAGCUUUGGUGCCGUCUCAAGGGUUUGGGAUUGAUUGGGUCGCAGGUCUCAGCUUGACUCCAACCUAUUGACAUUCUUCAUCCUCUCUACGUUAUUGUCAAGAAUUUUCAGGUUAUUGAAGAAGGAUUUGCUUUAUGGAACCAAACAAGCUUGGAGACAACUUGGCUGGGUUAGGGCAUGAUUCUAAUCCUGGUUGCAGAUUCUUCAAUGUCCGUAUUUCUGUUAGAAAGUGAUUUCUCCAGCUCUGCUGAUAUUAGUUAGUUUUUCCCCCCUUCUUCUGGCUUUUGCGAACCCGUACAUUUCCUCAUGUAUUGGUAGCAGUUGUUUUAUUAGCUAUCUGUACUACAGUAGCAAUAGUAGUCAUAUGUAAACAGCUUCAACUUUAUAAUAUUAUUUUUCUUUUUCUGAAUUCUGAAAAAACGAAGUUAUGCUAGCA